This 253-nucleotide ribosomal RNA is filed under the name uncultured bacterium. RNAcentral describes it as "partial 16S ribosomal RNA". It matches the Rfam family "Bacterial small subunit ribosomal RNA", at positions 524 to 776 of the family's 1533-position model. The record is from RNAcentral.
UACAGAGGGGGCAAGCGUUAUUCGGAAUUAUUGGGCGUAAAGGGCGCGUAGGCGGCCUGGCAAGUGGAAGGUGAAAUCCCUCGGCUUAACCGAGGAACUGCCCUCCAAACUGCUUGGCUUGAGUCCGGGAGAGGUGAGUGGAAUGCCGAGUGUAGAGGUGAAAUUCGUAGAUAUUCGGAGGAACACCAGUGGCGAAGGCGACUCACUGGCCCGAUACUGACGCUGAGGCGCGAAAGCGUGGGGAGCAAACAGG